GCCUCAGUAGCUCAGCCCGGUAGAGCAUCUGAUUUGUAAUCAGACGGCCGGGGGUUCGAAUCCCUCCUGGGGCUCCA
This 77-nucleotide transfer RNA is filed under the name Methanobacteriota archaeon. RNAcentral describes it as "Euryarchaeota archaeon tRNA-Thr". It matches the Rfam family "tRNA". From Rfam's summary of the family: Transfer RNA (tRNA) molecules are approximately 80 nucleotides in length. Their secondary structure includes four short double-helical elements and three loops (D, anti-codon, and T loops). Lineage: Archaea; Methanobacteriati; Methanobacteriota. The record is from RNAcentral. RNAcentral also lists the same sequence under 1 other name.